RNAcentral lists this ribosomal RNA (372 nucleotides) under uncultured organism. Its description in RNAcentral is "bacterial SSU rRNA". It matches the Rfam family "Bacterial small subunit ribosomal RNA", at positions 526 to 896 of the family's 1533-position model. The record is from RNAcentral.
CGUAGGGUCCAAGCGUUAUCCGGAAUCACUGGGCGUAAAGCGUGCGUAGGUGGCGUGUUAAGUGUGAUGUUAAAUCGUGUGGCUCAACCAUAUCGAUGUGUCGCAUACUGGCAUGCUAGAGGACGGCAGAGGCAAGUGGAAUUGGUAGUGUAGCAGUGAAAUGCGUAGAUAUUACCAGGAACACCAAUGGCGAAGGCAGCUUGCUGGGCCACUCCUGACACUGAGGUACGAAAGCGUGGGGAGCGAACAGGAUUAGAUACCCUGGUAGUCCACGCCGUAAACGAUGCAUACUAGUCUUAUGGGGUAUCGACCCCCUGUGAGACGCAGCUAACGCGAUAAGUAUGCCGCCUGGGAAGUACGGCCGCAAGGCUA